UCCGGUUUGUCACCGGCGGUCUCCUUAGAGUUCCCACCAUUACGUGCUGGCAACUAAGGACAAGGGUUGCGCUCGUUGCGGGACUUAACCCAACAUCUCACGACACGAGCUGACGACAGCCGUGCACCACCUGUGUAGGGCCCCGAAGGACACCGUAUCUCUACGGCUUUUCCCUACAUGUCAAACCCAGGUAAGGUUCUUCGCGUUGCUUCGAAUUAAACCACAUGCUCCACCGCUUGUGCGGGCCCCCGUCAAUUCCUUUGAGUUCCAGCCUUGCGGCCGUACUCCCCAGGCGGGGCACUUAUCGCGUUAGCUGCGACACCGAAGGGGUCGAUCCCACCGGCAUCUAGUGCCCAUCGUUUACAGCGUGGACUAC
Molecule: unclassified non-coding RNA, 376 nt
Filed under: uncultured bacterium
Lineage: Bacteria
Description: contains 16S-23S intergenic spacer region
Source: RNAcentral